Molecule: ribosomal RNA, 353 nt
Filed under: uncultured fungus
Lineage: Eukaryota; Fungi
Description: SSU rRNA
Rfam family: Eukaryotic small subunit ribosomal RNA
Source: RNAcentral
GUAGUCAUAUGCUUGUCUCAAAGAUUAAGCCAUGCAUGUCUAAGUAUAAACAAAUCUAUACUGUGAAACUGCGAAUGGCUCAUUAAAUCAGUUAUAGUUUAUUUGAUAAUACCUUACUACUUGGAUAACCGUAGUAAUUCUAGAGCUAAUACAUGCUAAAAAACCCGACUCUCGGAAGGGUUGUAUUUAUUAGAUAAAAAACCAAUGCGGUCUCGGCCGGUUAUUUGGUGAUUCAUAAUAACUUUGCGAAUCGUAUGACUUUGCGUCGACGAUGAUUCAUUCAAAUUUCUGCCCUAUCAACUUUCGAUGGUAAGGUAUUGGCUUACCAUGGUUACAACGGGUAACGGGGAAUA